This 440-nucleotide ribosomal RNA is filed under the name Arthrobacter agilis. Its description in RNAcentral is "bacterial SSU rRNA". It matches the Rfam family "Bacterial small subunit ribosomal RNA", at positions 125 to 567 of the family's 1533-position model. The record is from RNAcentral. Lineage: Bacteria; Bacillati; Actinomycetota; Actinomycetes; Micrococcales; Micrococcaceae.
CCUGCCCUUGACUCUGGGAUAAGCCUGGGAAACCGGGUCUAAUACUGGAUACGACCUUCUGGCGCAUGCCAUGUUGGUGGAAAGCUUUUGUGGUUUUGGAUGGACUCGCGGCCUAUCAGCUUGUUGGUGGGGUAAUGGCCUACCAAGGCGACGACGGGUAGCCGGCCUGAGAGGGUGACCGGCCACACUGGGACUGAGACACGGCCCAGACUCCUACGGGAGGCAGCAGUGGGGAAUAUUGCACAAUGGGCGCAAGCCUGAUGCAGCGACGCCGCGUGAGGGAUGAAGGCCUUCGGGUUGUAAACCUCUUUUCAGUAGAAGAAGCUGGCCUUUCGGGGUUGGUGACGGUACCUGCAGAAGAAGCGCCGGCUAACUACGUGCCAGCAGCCGCGGUAAUACGUAGGGCGCAAGCGUUAUCCGGAAUUAUUGGGCGUAAAGAG